This is an RNA transcript of Salvia splendens (bonfire salvia), 2262 nucleotides long. RefSeq lists it as uncharacterized. Lineage: Eukaryota; Viridiplantae; Streptophyta; Magnoliopsida; Lamiales; Lamiaceae. The transcript has 10 exons. The record is from RefSeq and is a predicted model, not a curated record.
ACUCUAAAACUAUCUCGGGAUGAUUGAGACAUUGAGCAUUUGUAGUUCUAAGUUCUAACGUGUUUUUGUCACAAUCUUUUGCUCAUUUGAUCAUUAUUAAAAUAUCAUUUGAUCAUUUACUUUUAUAAAAAAGAAUAAUUUUCUUUUAUAAAUUUUAUAUUUAAGCAAAAUUACUCUUAUACAAUUGUCGAUAAAAGUUUGUUUAAGCAGCAAAGAAAUGUGUAAGCUCUUAUCCUUGAGCACCUCUUCCACUCCUCCGGCGCCAACUUUCCGCUUAACCUGCGCCGCCGUAGGUUUUCCCGGAGCCACAGUUGCAGUGCGCUCAAGGCCAGGGACCUCAGCUCUUUCUAUCCACUACAAUGAGCAUCAGUUCGUACCGGAGGUUGAGAGAGCGGUGGACUCGUUGUACUCGGAAUUCCGAGCUGUGGAUAAUCUGGUGGCGUGCAACUCGGCCCGCGUGCUUAAAGCUUUUAAGAAUGCUCGUCUUGGAUUCCAUCACUUUGGUGGCAGCACGGGCUAUGGCCAUGAGGAAUCUGGUGGGCGUGAAGCACUGGAUGAAGCUUUUGCAGAGGUUUUUGGUGCUGAAUCUGCAAUUGUUCGAGGACAGUUUUUCUCAGGUACUCAUGCAAUCACAUGUGCUUUGUUUGCUUUCCUAAGGCCUGGAGAUGAGCUUCUGGCAGUUGCUGGAGCUCCCUAUGACACGUUGGAAGAAGUUAUUGGGAUCAGGGACUCUAAUGAUUGGGGUUCUUUACGAGACUUUGGAAUAGAUUACAGAGAAGUGUCACUUACAGAGGAUGGAGGGCUAGACUGGGACGCCCUGAAAAUUGCUCUGAAACCUCAAACAAAAUGUGCACUCAUUCAAAGAUCAUGCGGUUAUUCAUGGAGGCGUAGCUUGAGUGUAGAAGAAAACGGCAAGGCUAUAAAGAUAAUCAAGUUGCAGAAUCCCCAUUGUUUGGUCAUGGUGGAUAAUUGCUAUGGUGAAUUUACAGAUAGAAUCGAACCUCCAAUGGUGGGUGCAGAUCUAAUUCCUGGAAGUUUCAUAAAAAAUCCUGGUGGAACUAUAGCCCCAUGCGGUGGGUAUGUUGCAGGGAAAAAGAAAUGGGUAGCAGCAGCAGCUGCUCGUCUCUCUGCCCCGGGUCUAGGAAUUGAUUGUGGUUCAACGUCAGGAGAUAUAAUGCGACUGUUUUUUCAGGGCUUGUUCCUUGCUCCACAAAUGGUUGGUGAAGCAGUAAAGGGAAGCCUUCUUAUUGCUGAAGUAAUGGCAGGUAGAGGAUAUGAGGUGCAACCAUUUUGCCGAGCCCCCCGCAAUGAUGUAGUGCAGGCAGUAAAACUUGGAAGCCGUGAACGGCUGCUCGCCUUUUGUGAAGCUGUGCAAAGAAGUUCUCCAGUUAGCUCUUUUACAAAACCUAUAGCAGGUGCAACUCCUGGCUAUGCAUCUGAGGUACUUAUAAAGCUGCAACAUAUAUCCGAACUAUAUCUGCUGCUUUUGAUAGUUUAAACUCAUUCGCGCUUUCAUCUUUGCCCAAGGAUAUAACCAAAAUUGAGCUCAUCAACAUGUUCUGUUGGAUUUGGUAGAGGAUAUCCAAAUGACAUGAUUACUAGGUGAUAUUUGCUGAUGGGACUUUUAUUGACGGAAGUACAAGUGAACUUUCGUGUGAUGGCCCUCUCAGGGAGCCAUAUGCCGUCUUCUGCCAGGUUCAUGUCUCAUCUUCUCUUGCACUAGUUAUGAAUAACCUUUCCUUAUAAAAGAGAUGUCUCCACCACUGAUCUUUGUGAUCCAAUGGCUGAAAAUGAGCCUUGCCUUCUCAGAAUAAGAAGGGUUCUCAUUUGAAGAUAUUUCUCCACAAACAGGGUGGCAGCCAUUGGACGCAGUGGGGACUAGUUCUCGGGGAGGUGCUAAAAGCGUUGUAAGAUGCGCACGUUUCUUAGCAAACAUGGGCUGUACUGGCUGACCUACAUGCAAUGGGGGAGCCCCUAAUGAAUUCAUUUUUUAAACUUUUUUCUAUCAUAAAGUUUUAAAAUUUAUUCAUAUUUUAUACACAUUAUUAUAUAAAAGCCCCUAUUAAUAAUCUAAAUUACCUACAAAUUUGUUUUUAAGGUAAAUUUUUAACAUUUAGCCCUACUCACGUUUAUUUCUGCGUCCGCCACUAGGCCUGUAUCCCUCCUUGUAUGGUGUAUCCGUUCCAAUUUUGAUCAUAGUUUGACGUGUACUCUAUUAGAUCAUAGUUUGAUGUGUACUCUAUUAUUCAUCUUGGAUAUUAA